GGCCCGUUGGUCAAGUUUAAGACACCGCCCUUUCACGGCGGUAACACGGGUUCGAAUCCCGUACGGGUCA
RNAcentral lists this transfer RNA (70 nucleotides) under Priestia megaterium. Its description in RNAcentral is "tRNA-Glu". It matches the Rfam family "tRNA". From Rfam's summary of the family: Transfer RNA (tRNA) molecules are approximately 80 nucleotides in length. Their secondary structure includes four short double-helical elements and three loops (D, anti-codon, and T loops). The record is from RNAcentral. Lineage: Bacteria; Bacillati; Bacillota; Bacilli; Caryophanales; Bacillaceae.